GGGGCUGUAACUCAAUGGCAGAGCGCUUGCCUUGCAUGUAUGAGGCACUGGGUUCAAUCCUCAGCACCA
Molecule: transfer RNA, 69 nt
Filed under: Ictidomys tridecemlineatus (thirteen-lined ground squirrel)
Lineage: Eukaryota; Metazoa; Chordata; Mammalia; Rodentia; Sciuridae
Description: Spermophilus tridecemlineatus (thirteen-lined ground squirrel) tRNA
Rfam family: tRNA
About the family: Transfer RNA (tRNA) molecules are approximately 80 nucleotides in length.
Source: Rfam by way of RNAcentral